CCCUCCCCGCCCCUCCUUCUAUUCGUCUAUCGUGUGCUUGGGAUAUGCUCAUGCUUUGCACAGAGCAGCCGAAGCACGACUAAUGCAGGCAACUGAGUGUUAACGGCAAUUUUAAAGUGUUGCUUCCCCCCCCCCCCCACACCAAAUAUUACGGCUGGGAUAUUUGAGGGGAACAUACCACAUCACGGCACACACGGAGCCGACUGAACGCCGCGGUUCUUCCUCUGCUUGGGACGCUUUCAUGGUCGAUUGCAGUGAUUUGACUCACCUCGAGGAACGAUGGAGAAGCGGAGCUGUGGAGGACUGCAGGCAGCAGGAAGUAGAGGUCAAGAAGAGAUCUCUGGGAUGUUUCUGUCCAUUGAACCCAAAUGAGGUUGGAUGGAGACCUCGUAAACCAUGACUCAGAAACGAAUGGCAUAACGUGUGGAGUCUUCAGGCUAAAGACGUCAAGGAUAUUCAGCUGAUCUCAGAGGUAAAUGGGCCAUCCUGAUCAUCUGGAGAGGAGCCUGAACCACAUCACACAAGGAGUAUCGAGAUGUCCAUUCAUAACUCCCUUUAGCUCUAUGAGCUUCACUUCACUCGACAACAAUUGAACCUGCACUGUACUCUCCAAUUCUGUGUUAUGGUUAUAUAUAUAUAUAUAUACACUACCAUUCAAAAGUUUGGGGUCAUCCAGACAAUUUCGUGUCUUCCAUGAAAACUCACUUUUAUUUAUCAAAUGAAUUGAAAAUUGAAUAGAAAAUAUAGUCAAGACAUUGACAAGGUUAGAAAUAAUGAUUAAUAUGUGAAGUAUUAAUUUUGUUCUUCAAACUUCAAGCUCAAAGGAAGGCCAGUUGUAUAGCUUAUAUCACCAGCAUAACUGUUUUCAGCUGUGCUAACAUAAUUGCACAAGGGUUUUCAAAUCAGAUAUUAGUCUUCUAAGGCGAUUAGCAAACACAAUGUACCAUUAGAACACUGGAGUGAUAGUUGAUGGAAAUGGGCCUCUAUACACCUCUGAGGAUAUUUCAUUAGAAACCAGACGUUUCCACCUAGAAUAGUCAUUUACCACAUUAACAAUGUAUAGUGUGUAUUUUUGAUUAAUGUUAUCUUUAUUGAAAAAACAGUGCUUUUCUUUGAAAAAUAAAGACAUUUCUAAGUGACCCCAAACUUUUGAACGGUAGUGUAUAUAUAAUACUGUACCGGUCAAACAGACCCAUAAUUUGACAUUGCACUAAUAUAAUUAUUGAUUUAUAUAUUCUUGUACUUUAAACGAGUGAAUAGAAUGAAAAUGUCUUUCAUAUUGAAACUUGUAUUCAUUUCAUGUAAUUGAUUGAGUCUAACAAGUCUAUUUUAUGACAGCUUAAUAAAGGCUUUCUUUUCUUUUAAGUGAUGUUUCAGUGCGAGUUAUUUUCUACUUUCUGCGUAGUGCUUUGGCACUCCAGGUAAAGAACGAUGUGCCUGACAUAAUUGGGUCCUAUUUGGUUCUGAAAAGAGCAUGCAUGCUGAUAAGAGCUAGAAGGGUGAUCAAAGCACCAUGUGUCGCGAUCAAAAUCAUACACCUGACACCGUGAUAGUGUAUCCUGACAGACGAACGAAAUGUGGGGAAACAGGUUCAGACAAUACCAAGAAGCCUCCUUGUUUAA
Pseudoliparis swirei is the source of this 1622-nucleotide long non-coding RNA. RefSeq lists it as uncharacterized. Lineage: Eukaryota; Metazoa; Chordata; Actinopteri; Perciformes; Liparidae. The record is from RefSeq and is a predicted model, not a curated record. The transcript has 4 exons.